This 387-nucleotide ribosomal RNA is filed under the name uncultured Alphaproteobacteria bacterium. RNAcentral describes it as "bacterial SSU rRNA". It matches the Rfam family "Bacterial small subunit ribosomal RNA", at positions 9 to 425 of the family's 1533-position model. Lineage: Bacteria; Pseudomonadati; Pseudomonadota; Alphaproteobacteria. The record is from RNAcentral.
GAGUUUGAUCGUGGCUCAGAGCGAACGCUGGCGGCAGGCCUAACACAUGCAAGUCGAACGCCCCUUCGGGGGAGUGGCGGACGGGUGAGUAACACGUGGGAACGUGCCCUUUGGUACGGAACAACUGAGGGAAACUUCAGCUAAUACCGUAUGAGCCCUUCGGGGGAAAGAUUUAUCGCCAUUGGAGCGGCCCGCGUUGGAUUAGGUAGUUGGUGGGGUAAAGGCCUACCAAAGCCUACGAUCCAUAGCUGGUCUGAGAGGAUGAUCAGCCACACUGGGACUGAGACACGGCCCAGACUCCUACGGGAGGCAGCAGUGGGGAAUCUUGCGCAAUGGGCGAAAGCCUGACGCAGCCAUGCCGCGUGUAUGAUGAAGGUCUUAGGAUUG